AAUAUGCCUUUCCGCGGGGAAUAACUAGGCGAAAGCUUAGCUAAUACCGCAUGAUCCGACGAUGGCUCCGGUCAUUUUCGGUAAAGCCGUAAGGCGCGGAAAGAGUAGCCUGAAUCCCAUUAGCUAGUUGGUAAGGUAACGGCUUACCAAGGCUUUGAUGGGUAGGUGGUCUGAGAGGGCGAUCACCCACACUGGAACUGAGACACGGUCCAGACUCCUACGGGAGGCAGCAGUUAGGAAUCUUGCGCAAUGGGAGAAAUCCUGACGCAGCAACGCCGCGUGAGGGACGAAGGCCUUCGGGUUGUAAACCUCUUUUGGUUGGGACGAUUCAGGACGGUACCAACAGAAAAAGCACCGGCUAACUCUGUGCCAGCAGCCGCGGUGAUACAGAGGGUGCAAGCGUUAUUCGGAAUUACUGGGCGUAAAGCGCGCGCAGGCUGUUUAGCAAGUCUACUGUGAAAGCCUCCGUUUCAAGCGGAGAAGUGC
Molecule: ribosomal RNA, 486 nt
Filed under: uncultured bacterium
Lineage: Bacteria
Description: bacterial SSU rRNA
Rfam family: Bacterial small subunit ribosomal RNA
Source: RNAcentral